AGAGAUGCAUUGGGUUUAAAGUGUGCGCAGGCGGUUUCGUAAGACAGAGGUGAAAUCCCCGGGCUCAACCUGGGAACUGCCUUUGUGACUGCAAGGCUGGAGUGUGGCAGAGGGGGAUGGAAUUCCGCGUGUAGCAGUGAAAUGCGUAGAUAUGCGGAGGAACACCGAUGGCGAAGGCAAUCCCCUGGGCCUGCACUGACGCUCAUGCACGAAAGCGUGGAGAGCAAACA
This 230-nucleotide ribosomal RNA is filed under the name uncultured Alicycliphilus sp. RNAcentral's name for it is "partial 16S ribosomal RNA". It matches the Rfam family "Bacterial small subunit ribosomal RNA", at positions 548 to 774 of the family's 1533-position model. The record is from RNAcentral. Lineage: Bacteria; Pseudomonadati; Pseudomonadota; Betaproteobacteria; Burkholderiales; Comamonadaceae.